UCUGCAACCCGACUCCAUGAAGCUGGAUUCGCUAGUAAUCGCGCAUCAGCCACGGCGCGGUGAAUACGUUCCCGGGCCUUGUACACACCGCCCGUCAAGCCAUGGAAGCCGGGAGUGCCUGAAGUGCGUGAGCGCAAGCAGCGCCCUAAGGUAAAACCGGUGACUGGGGCUAAGUCGUAACAAGGUAAC
RNAcentral lists this ribosomal RNA (189 nucleotides) under uncultured bacterium. RNAcentral describes it as "partial 16S ribosomal RNA". It matches the Rfam family "Bacterial small subunit ribosomal RNA", at positions 1304 to 1500 of the family's 1533-position model. The record is from RNAcentral.